Molecule: ribosomal RNA, 396 nt
Filed under: uncultured bacterium
Lineage: Bacteria
Description: bacterial SSU rRNA
Rfam family: Bacterial small subunit ribosomal RNA
Source: RNAcentral
UGGGGAAUAUUGGACAAUGGGGGAAACCCUGAUCCAGCAAUGCCGCGUGAGUGAAGAAGGCCUUAGGGUUGUAAAGCUCUUUCGCCCGCGAAGAUAAUGACGGUAGCGGGAGAAGAAGCCCCGGCUAACUCCGUGCCAGCAGCCGCGGUAAUACGGAGGGGGCUAGCGUUGUUCGGAAUUACUGGGCGUAAAGCGUACGUAGGCGGAUGCGCAAGUUGGGGGUGAAAUCCCGGGGCUUAACCUCGGAAUUGCCCUCAAAACUGCACGUCUUGAGACCGAGAGAGGUAAGGGGAAUUCCUAGUGUAGAGGUGAAAUGCGUAGAUAUUAGGAAGAACACCAGUGGCGAAGGCGCCUUACUGGCUCGGUACUGACGCUGAGGUACGAAAGCGUGGGGAG